CCAAAAAGUAUCUGCAGCGGACACACCGUCAGACUCUGUCCUCGGCCCCGGGAACAGGGCCUUUCGCUCCAAUGACUGAGCUCCCGCAGCCUCGAACCCAGAGCAGCUGCUCUCAGGACUCCCUUUAUUCCCACGAUGACUCGCACGCUGCAGGUCAGAGCAAAAAGUAGUUAAACGCCAUGUGCCAAAGCGCACGAAUCCCGCGUUCACCUACGGAAACACCCCCGGGGGGGGAAGUGCUCAUUGUACCAGGAGAGGAGAACACAGGAGUCCUGAGCCGGGACAGUGAUUCACCCCAGAGUGAGUCAGACGACCCGACACACACGCACCGCUAUAUAACGGCAACACACAUGGGGUCUCUCGACGACACGGGACCCGAGCCCCAAGAGGUAAGGUGGCUAUGCAGACUUGUUGUUGUUAUGAUGAUGUUUUACUCUGUCUGUCUGGUUCUGUUAUGCAUCGAAAGCUCUUAAUGUCACAGGUAGCCUGUAACUUCUAGGGGAACAAAUUAUAGGAAAAUGAGGAAAUUGAGAUACUGAAACACUGCGCUGCGGAUAAGGGUGUAUUUCAGUCCGUGAGACUUGAAACACAAGAUGUGAAUGUAUAUAGUUGGUCACCAUUGAAUGAGCCACCGCAGGAGGUCAUGACCCUCGGACAUGGGACACAAGGACAGGAAGAGGCCAGCGGUGCUCAGCCCUUGUUACUGUAUCAGUGGCUUCACUUUGUUUUAUCUACCUUUUUAUGCUCCAUUCAUUUCUACUUCUGAUUUUUCCUUUCCCAGAUAACAAUGACCAUACAGGGUAAAUCAUGUAUCCUACAGUUGGAUUUUUGCACAUUUUACUUCCUACCAUGCAAAAUAAACUUUGCACAAGUUCAGAUUAUGAGAUUUUU
This 891-nucleotide long non-coding RNA is filed under the name Scleropages formosus (Asian bonytongue). RNAcentral describes it as "lncRNA (ENSSFOG00015031697.1)". The record is from RNAcentral. Lineage: Eukaryota; Metazoa; Chordata; Actinopteri; Osteoglossiformes; Osteoglossidae.